RNAcentral lists this ribosomal RNA (1026 nucleotides) under Hevansia sp. TW-2022a. RNAcentral's name for it is "SSU rRNA". It matches the Rfam family "Eukaryotic small subunit ribosomal RNA", at positions 69 to 1107 of the family's 1831-position model. Lineage: Eukaryota; Fungi; Ascomycota; Sordariomycetes; Hypocreales; Cordycipitaceae. The record is from RNAcentral.
GCAAUUAUACAGCGAAACUGCGAAUGGCUCAUUAUAUAAGUUAUCGUUUAUUUGAUAGUGCCUUACUACUUGGAUAACCGUGGUAAUUCUAGAGCUAAUACAUGCUGAAAAUCCCGACUCCGGAAGGGAUGUGUUUAUUAGAUUAAAAACCAAUGCCCCCUGGGCUCCUUGGUGAUUCAUGAUAACCGUUCGAAUCGCAUGGCCUUGCGCCGGCGAUGGUUCAUUCAAAUUUCUUCCCUAUCAACUUUCGAUGUUUGGGUAUUGGCCAAACAUGGUCGCAACGGGUAACGGAGGGUUAGGGCUCGACCCCGGAGAAGGAGCCUGAGAAACGGCUACUACAUCCAAGGAAGGCAGCAGGCGCGCAAAUUACCCAAUCCCGAUCCGGGGAGGUAGUGACAAUAAAUACUGAUACAGGGCUCUUUUGGGUCUUGUAAUUGGAAUGAGUACAAUUUAAAUCCCUUAACGAGGAACAAUUGGAGGGCAAGUCUGGUGCCAGCAGCCGCGGUAAUUCCAGCUCCAAUAGCGUAUAUUAAAGUUGUUGUGGUUAAAAAGCUCGUAGUUGAACCUUGGGCCUGGCUGGCCGGUCCGCCUCACCGCGUGCACUGGUCCGGCCGGGCCUUUCCCUCUGCGGAACCCCAUGCCCUUCGCUGGGUGUGGCGGGGAAGCAGGACUUUUACUUUGAAAAAAUUAGAGUGCUUCAGGCAGGCCUAUGCUCGAAUACAUUAGCAUGGAAUAAUGAAAUAGGACGCGCGGUUCUAUUUUGUUGGUUUCUGGGACCGCCGUAAUGGUUAAUAGGGACAGUCGGGGGCAUCAGUAUUCAAUCGUUAGAGGUGAAAUUCUUGGAUCGAUUGAAGACUAACUACUGCGAAAGCAUUUGCCAAGGAUGUUUUCAUUAAUCAGGAACGAAAGUUAGGGGAUCGAAGACGAUCAGAUACCGUCGUAGUCUUAACCAUAAACUAUGCCGACUAGGGAUCGGACGACGUUAAUCUUUGACGCGUUCGGCACCUUACGAGAAAUCAAAGUGCU